Molecule: long non-coding RNA, 674 nt
Filed under: Sorghum bicolor (sorghum)
Lineage: Eukaryota; Viridiplantae; Streptophyta; Magnoliopsida; Poales; Poaceae
Description: long non-coding RNA (SBIC_LNC003570)
Source: RNAcentral
UGUGGGCGUCGAGACUCUCGUGCGAAUGAGGUUUUUUUUUUGAGGUCAACAAUUUUUGGGCCGGGCUGAAGACCUGCUCCAAGCAAUUUCGGCCCACGAGGAGGGCUGUAGCCCCCCAGCCCCCCCCUCCCUCCGCCACUUAUGUAAACUGUUCCUAAGGCGAGGUUUUUGGAGUUGUAGCUGUUUUUUUAGAUCUUUUCUGUAUAUAGUUGUACAGUGUCUAUCUAGGCUCUUUCUCUUUAAUAUAAUAGGCAGCUCUCCUGCCGGUUUCGUUCAAAAAAAAAAAAAAGACCCCUUUGCUAGCUGUAGCUUGUGCGGCGGUGCCGAACAUCCCCGGCGGUGAUCGAGCUGCAUGCCUGCCGUGCUCAUCACAUCAGUCGUGUCGUGUACUCGUGUGAGUGGGAAGGCACUUGGGCAGUUCGGCAUGCAAAAGACAGAGCCGGCAACUGGGCAGUAUGCCCGUGAUCGAGUGACCCAUCGAAGGCGCGCCGAGAACUAGCAAGCUGACUUGCCGACGUCGAUCGUGCAGUUGGGCACCACUGUUAAGGUCUCUCGUCUCGAUCUGUAGUGCGAGAUAUGAGAGCAGGAACACAAUGUAACGCAAUGAAGAACUAGCAGCUGGCUGCCAUUUUUCUCCGGAAUAUAAGACAUCCAUAUACAUACAUGCACGCCAC